Long non-coding RNA from Asparagus officinalis (garden asparagus), 1135 nucleotides. RefSeq lists it as uncharacterized. Lineage: Eukaryota; Viridiplantae; Streptophyta; Magnoliopsida; Asparagales; Asparagaceae. The record is from RefSeq and is a predicted model, not a curated record. The transcript has 4 exons.
UUUUGGGGCAGUUUGUUGAAGAAGCCGAGGGCUCGACAGAGAGGGACAGUAUAAAUAGAGGGAGUUGAGGAUCAAUAGAGCUCCUCCUCUAAAAAUUUCCGCUCGUUUUCUUCCUCUUUUGAAACCUAGGGUUUGUCUGCUCAAUUUUUUUAUAUUUUCUUGGAGUUGAAGAGCAUCAAUGGAGUUCGAGCCUUGGAUUCGGUCUCGAGAACGCCGACGAAGCCAAGAAGCUCAUCAACGAUCGCAAUGAUCAUUAGUUUUGAGAACUGGAUUCGAGUUUGUGAAAACUUCCGACGUUGGAUUUGAGCUCAAGAAUGCCGUACAAGACCAAGAAGUUCAUCAACGAUCUUAAUGGCCUGAUCUAACUACGAAGCUUAUCGAUGAUCGCAAUGGUUUGAUCUAACUCUCUCUCUCUCUCUCUCUCUCUCUUCCAUAGUCUGAUUUCAUUCACUGAUGUUCUGUAUUUUUCUUUAAUUAGAUGAUCGUUUAGUUUAGAACCUUGGAUUUGAGAUUGAGAAUAAUGUACAAGGUGCAAGAUCAGCGACAACAAUGCUUCACCAAAUCAACGAUCAACCUAGGCAGGAAGCUCAAGAAUAAAAUGAAGCGAACGAUGGUUUUUUAGCAAAAGUUACAAUGUACUAAGUUUGAACCUUUGUAAAAUUAUUCUGAUAAUUAAUGUAAUGAUUUGUUCUCUUAAUACAGUUCAAUUUGUAAUAUUUAGAUAAGCAGAAAUACUCAGCAACAGAAUCACUCGCUCACUAUUCAAACUGAUACAACAUAAUCGCAAUUGAUACUAAGAUUGAGAAUAACAUGCACGCAAUAGCAAUUCCGAAAAUACUUGGGCGUAAGAAAAUUAAACCUUCGUCGGGUUGGACUGGUUCGAUGGGAGGAUCCUCUGGAGGCGGUGUAAAAACUCCAAAUGUGAGUGGCGGGAGUUCUCCUCCAAGAGCUACGUAAUUGGGAUGAAGCGGCGUAUCUGGAUGAAAACGUCGGUGCCAAGAACUAAUGCCCAAACUGCUCUCCACACUGUCUACAAGCUGAUGAGUCACGCGUUCGACGUAUUCAGGAACACUCUCGGACGUCCGGUAAUCGAACCACGAGGAAAGCUGCAAAUCAACAAUACCAGUCUCUGGAU